This 484-nucleotide ribosomal RNA is filed under the name uncultured bacterium. Its description in RNAcentral is "partial 16S ribosomal RNA". It matches the Rfam family "Bacterial small subunit ribosomal RNA", at positions 29 to 523 of the family's 1533-position model. The record is from RNAcentral.
AGUGAACGCUGGCGGCGUGCUUAACACAUGCAAGUCGAACGAGAACGGAUUAUAGCUUGCUAUAAUUGUCAGCUAAGUGGCGCACGGGUGAGUAAUGUAUAGGUAAUAUGCCUCUUACUAAGGGAUAACAAAUGGAAACGUUUGCUAAUACCUUAUACUCCUUAUUAACAGGAGUUAAUAAGGGAAAGAUUUAUUGGUAAGAGAUUAGCCCGUAUUGUAUCAGUUAGUUGGUGGGGUAAUGGCUUACCAAGACUAUGACACAUAACUGGUUUGAGAGGAUGAUCAGUCACACUGGAACUGAGACACGGUCCAGACUCCUACGGGAGGCAGCAGUGGGGAAUAUUGCACAAUGGACGAAAGUCUGAUGCAGCAACGCCGCGUGGAGGAUGACACAUUUCGGUGAGUAAACUCCUUUUAUAUGAGAAGAUAAUGACGGUAUUAUAUGAAUAAGCACCGGCUAACUCCGUGCCAGCCGCCGCCGUAA